Heterocephalus glaber (naked mole-rat) is the source of this 2448-nucleotide RNA transcript. It is a transcript of the gene named protein PBDC1, with no coding region annotated. The record is from RefSeq and is a predicted model, not a curated record. NCBI's taxonomy places the organism in Eukaryota, Metazoa, Chordata, Mammalia, Rodentia, Bathyergidae.
AAUCUUGGAAGCAGCCCGUAUGCCUAUCAACAGAUGAAUGGAUAAAGAAAACGUUACGGUCAGUGAAGAAGGGCUGGCCAUUUGGAGCUAUCCUCAUUUCCUAGCCAGAUAGCAGGAAGCUCAGUGCAACUUUGUGGAACUGCUUCCUAUUGAUCUGAUUAAAACUUUUGAUGAAAAUGAGCUGAAGUUGUGAUAUGCAGCUUCAGUGAUGUUGAUGUGAACAACUGGAGACAGCAUUUUAUUUACAAGAAUGGCUGCUGCCUGAAUGACCCUAUCAUUCACCCUUCUGGAAGGCUGUGCUAUUGACAGUCACCAAGAAGCAGAUCUAGUUACUGCCAGUUUAUCAAGGGGAUAUCCUGUGUACCCAAUAAUGGAUUUGCUGAGCUUUCGUUCCAAUGGUCCUCAGCUGUUUACAGUAGAGUAAUCUGACAUUCCUGAAAAACUGCCGAGAGCUCACACAUGCUUUAAUGGCCUUAUCCAUAUGAAACUUUUGAAGAUUUAUAAGAGAAGCUUCUCAUGGCCGUGGAAAAUGCUCAAGUAUUUGAAGGGGUGGAUUAAGAUCUUCUUCCUCAGGGCCACUGUCCAUCCAGCACAUCCAUCCAUGUGCUCUUCUACAUUAUUAUUAAUUUCAUCAUUUUAUUGUUGUUUUGUUUUUUUGGAACUGGGGAUUGAACUCGGAACUGUGUGCUUGCGCGGCAGGUGCCAGAACCACUGAGCUAAAUCCCCAGCCCAAUUUCAUCAUUUUAAAUGGGCUUAGUUUGUGGCACCCCAAAAUGAUUAUAAUAGUAACAUCAAUAUCAAAAAUCACUGUAACCGACAGUAAUAAUGGAAUUUGAAACAUUGCAAGAAUUUUCAAAAUGUGACACAGAGAAACAAAAUGAGCACACACUGUUGGAAAAGAGAUGUUGAGGCUUGUUUGACGCAAAACUUCAAACUGUAAGACACAAUAUUUGGCUUCCUUGGCUGCAACAUGGACAGUACCAGUAGAAUGGAAGAACCGGUUUCGGCAGAGGUGGUGUCGGUGGCACAGGCUCUUUCUCUCCCAGCAGAGUCUUUUGGCAAUGACCCGGACAUUGAGAUGGCUUGGGCCAUGAGAGCAAUGCAGCAUGCUGAAUUCUAUUACAAACUGAUUUCAUCAGUUGACCCACGGUUCCUGAAACUCACCAAAGUGAAUGAUCAAAUCUACUCUGAAUUCCGGGAACAUUUUGAGAAACUCAAGAUAGAUGUAUUGGACCCAGAAGAACUCAAAUCAGAAUUGGCUAAAGAGAAGUGGAGGCCAUUCUGCUUGAAGUUUGAUGGGAGUGUAGAAGACUUUAACUAUGGUACUUUGCUGCGACUGGAUUGUUCUCAGGGCUACACAGAGGAAAAUACUUCCUUUGCUCCCAGGAUACAAUUUUAUGCCAUUGAAAUUGCUCAGAACCGAGAAGGCUAUAAUAAAGCAAUUUAUAUCAGUGUUCAGGACAAAGGAGGAGCGAAAGGAGCCAAUGAAGGAGAGGCUGGAGGAAAGAAUGGAGCUGACAGUGGAGAAGAAGAGAAAGUAGAGAAAGGAGCAGAUAGCAGAGGAGAAGAGGAGGGAGUCACUAGAGAAGGAGAAAAAGAAAACUGACAAAGGAGAAAAACAGAAAGAAAAUGACAUGCUAACCAAAGCUGUGAAGCAUCUGUGUAAGGUAGACAGGGAGUAGUACUCUGUGGUUUUUUUGUUGUUUUUUUGGUACCAGGGAUCGAACUCGGGUCCUUGCGCUUGCACAGCUAAAUCCCUGGCCCAGGGAGUAGUACCCUGGAGGCUGUGACUCAAAUGAGCCUAUCAGUAGCGCGGUGCUACUUGCCCAGACCCCUUUGGUUAAAUGUAUGUCUUUGUCAGUUGAAGGACACUCUAAGGACAUCUGCCUAGCCUAAUAAUCACAAGCUGCUGUGGUUGUUCCCUUGUAUGAACAGACUUAAAGACUAUUAGUGGCAAGAAAUUGCUCUUAGUUCUUAUGAUCAUCUAUAUAUGUGACUUCUAAAACAUAUGUGAAGUUAUUAGUUCAAGUUUUUUUCAGGUUUAUAAUCUCCCCACCACGUUUUAUGUAAAACGAUUGAUGCAUGUAUCUUAACUCUUGUCACUGUUUGUUGAAGUUUUCUUAACCUCUGAAGUUGUACCUGAUCCUAGGAUUAGAAGUCUUCAUAUAAAAAUUGAUUGCUGCUCUUAAAAAAAACCCCACAAUAUUUGGAUGCACAAUAAAAUGAGGUGUGACUGUAUAUAUACUUUGUUCCUAUUAUUAAAAUUCUUCUAACUGGGUGUGGUGAUGCACACCUGUAAUCCCAACACUCAAGAGGCUACAUAGUGAGUUCAAAAAAAUCUUCUAACUAUAUGAAUGCAUUUAGUAUUUAAACUAAAUAUACCAAAAAAAGUGAAAAAACUAAGUUACCUACAAAAUGGCUCAACUAUCAAUUAUACAAUAUAUUCAU